GGUCCUGUAGUGAAGUGGUCAUCAUGCCUCUCUGUCACAGAGGAGAUCGCGGGUUCAAAUCCCGUCAGGACCG
Molecule: transfer RNA, 73 nt
Filed under: Candidatus Hepatoplasma crinochetorum Av
Lineage: Bacteria; Bacillati; Mycoplasmatota; Mollicutes; Mycoplasmatales; Hepatoplasmataceae (SeqCode)
Rfam family: tRNA
About the family: Transfer RNA (tRNA) molecules are approximately 80 nucleotides in length. Their secondary structure includes four short double-helical elements and three loops (D, anti-codon, and T loops).
Source: Rfam by way of RNAcentral